UACGUAGGGGGCGAGCGUUGUCCGGAAUUAUUGGGCGUAAAGCGCGCGCAGGUGGUUUCUUAAGUCUGAUGUGAAAGCCCACGGCUCAACCGUGGAGGGUCAUUGGAAACUGGGAGACUUGAGUGCAGAAGAGGAAAGUGGAAUUCCAAGUGUAGCGGUGAAAUGCGUAGAGAUUUGGAGGAACACCAGUGGCGAAGGCGACUUUCUGGUCUGUAACUGACGCUGAGGCGCGAAAGCGUGGGGAGCGAACAGG
This 253-nucleotide ribosomal RNA is filed under the name uncultured bacterium. Its description in RNAcentral is "partial 16S ribosomal RNA". It matches the Rfam family "Bacterial small subunit ribosomal RNA", at positions 524 to 776 of the family's 1533-position model. The record is from RNAcentral.